UCAAGGGUUGGCUGGAGGAAACCGCCCUCCUCUUUGAGGAAGCGGGCCUGCCCCGCAUGGCGGGCCGGGUUCUGGCCUGGCUCCUGGU
Molecule: transfer RNA, 88 nt
Filed under: Thermus brockianus
Lineage: Bacteria; Thermotogati; Deinococcota; Deinococci; Thermales; Thermaceae
Description: tRNA-Leu
Source: RNAcentral